Diospyros lotus (date-plum) is the source of this 967-nucleotide long non-coding RNA. RefSeq lists it as uncharacterized. The transcript has 4 exons. NCBI's taxonomy places the organism in Eukaryota, Viridiplantae, Streptophyta, Magnoliopsida, Ericales, Ebenaceae. The record is from RefSeq and is a predicted model, not a curated record.
UUUGUAGAUAUGCUCUUUCAGUAUUGAUUUGAAAUGAUAUAAAAUUUAUUCUUUAUAUCUUGAGGAGAUGGAUGAGAGAUGUGUAUAGAGCAUACACAAGGGUUAAUAUCAAUUACAAUGGUUGAGUUAGUACUCUUAAGCAGGUAAUAUACGAUCAAUUGCAAAGUUUAUUUACUAAGGUGGCAAAUUUGGUAAUAGAUGAUGAAGAAUGCACCCAUGAGUUCACGGAGUUGCUCAAAAAUCAACUGAACAAUCUGACCAUAUUGAUAUCGAGAAGAAGUUGUGGCAGUAAUCUCCUUUCCCAAAGCAGUGUUUAAAUCUCCUCUGAUUGUGGCGAAGCUGGAAGGACAUCAUCCAAUCCUAUUUUGGAUUUGUAAUGCACAAAAACAAAGAGAGCUCCUAGAAAACUUUGUCAAAAUGGGUCAUUGGAAAUGAGUACCAAUAAACGCAAGUCAAGCAAAGGAAAAUGCCCAAUGGAAAAUAAUGCACAACCUGGUCAAGCUCUAAUACAAGUAGCAAAAGAUGCACUAAAUCCCGUGCUAACCCCACUCACUUACUCAUAACAGUUGAUGGGUGCUAACUAUCAAGCUUAUGGAGUGAAUUGGAUACCGACUUAUGGACUAAGUCAACCAUUUAUGCCAACCUAUGUGCUACAAUGACGUCCCGAGGAAGAUGAGGUGGGGAUAGAGCUGAUGAACACCGAUUUGCUCAAAUAGAGGUUGCCUUGACCAAAUUCCAUCAAAAGAGAAAGGAAAGCGUCACAAAAGAUAUGAAGAUAGUGGCAGGUUGUGAGGAGGAUUGUAACAGUGGAGGUGGGAAGAGAUCUGAAAAUGGGUUAAUUGCAGCUGUGCUGAAAUGAUUGCCAUGAGGGAACAAAAACGAAACUAAAUUUAUUUUUUUAUUAGAAUAUUGUACGUUCUGAAAAAUAGUUGGUUAACUAUGUUAAAAUGAUUGUUACGAGGGAACA